GCGGCCGACUUGGGUGGAUUCAGAGCUUCACAGCUAAGGGCCUGCGGCCCACAGAUUCCAUGAAAUCCUUGAAGGGGACCGGAACUCCAAAGAUCAACCGUGAAGGUGGAGGGAACUAUAUAAGAGUGUGAACACUGGGAGGCAGGAAUUUGGAUCACCCUGAAGACUGUCUACCACAGUGUCUAUAAAGGGAUGUUUGUACAGCAAACUGCCUUGGAAGAUAGUGUUUCCUUCUGGAGCAGAGGGUAGGCCUGAAGACUAAUUAUAGAAAGGAUAACAUUCCCCCUCCAGAGCAAAGGUUGGGUUCUCUCUGUACUUUUGCUCACCAGUACAUAGAACUAGAACUCUAAAGUGGCUGCUCCAUGGGCCCCUAAAGGGCAUAGCUUCCAAGUGGCUAUACCAGUUGACAUUCCUACCAACAACACAUAAGGAUUUCUUUUUCUCCACAUCCUUAUGGAUAAUUGCCAGUGACAGUCAACUAGCUUAAGAAAACAAAACUUCAUGUACCUGCAAAGCACAGGAAUGAACUCUAGUCAUAUCUGGAACUGAGACUCAAAUGACAUCAGCAGAAGUUUGUCUUAAGCCAUCACUUUGCUCUGAUUUUAUUUUAUUUUUGGACUAUCUUCAUUCUGGUGUUUCCUAUAUGGUGGCAAAGGUGGCCAUCAUCAACUCUAAGUUUAUAUCAUUCUUACAUCUGGGGGUUUAAGGCAAAAGAAAGUGUAUUUUUCUAAGUCCUCCAUGCAAAAUUCUGAGGGAUGACCCUUCUUGGUCCAGACUGAGUCACACAU
Mustela erminea (ermine) is the source of this 788-nucleotide long non-coding RNA. RefSeq lists it as uncharacterized. The transcript has 5 exons. The record is from RefSeq and is a predicted model, not a curated record. Lineage: Eukaryota; Metazoa; Chordata; Mammalia; Carnivora; Mustelidae.